Molecule: ribosomal RNA, 252 nt
Filed under: uncultured bacterium
Lineage: Bacteria
Description: partial 16S ribosomal RNA
Rfam family: Bacterial small subunit ribosomal RNA
Source: RNAcentral
CACGUAGGCACCAAGCGUUGUCCGGAUUUAUUGGGCGUAAGGGCUUGUUGGCGGUUCGUUAAGUUUGGUGUGAAAUCUCCCGGCUCAACCGGGAGGGGUCAUCGGAUACUGGCGGACUAGAGACAGGUAGAGGAAAGCAGAAUUCCCGGUGUAGCGGUGAAAUGCGUAGAUAUCGGAAGGAACAUCAGUGGCGAAGGCGACUUCCUGGACCAAUACUGACGCUCAGGUGCGAAAGCGUGGGGAGCAAACAGG